AACGAACGCUGGCGGCAUGCCUAACACAUGCAAGUCGAACGAGACCUUCGGGUCUAGUGGCGCACGGGCGCGUAACGCGUGGGAACCUGCCCUUAGGUUCGGAAUAACUCCCCGAAAGGGGUGCUAAUACCGGAUAAUGUCUUCGGACCAAAGAUUUAUCGCCUUUGGAUGGGCCCGCGUUGGAUUAGCUAGUUGGUAGGGUAAAAGCCUACCAAGGCGACGAUCCAUAGCUGGUCUGAGAGGAUGGUCAGCCACACUGGGACUGAGACACGGCCCAGACUCCUACGGGAUGCAGCAGUGGGGAAUAUUGGACAAUGGGCGAAAGCCUGAUCCAGCAAUGCCGCGUGAGUGAUGAAGGCCUUAGGGUUGUAAAGCUCUUUUACCCGGGAUGAUAAUGACAGUACCGGGAGAAUAAGCUCCGGCUAACUCCGUG
Molecule: ribosomal RNA, 433 nt
Filed under: uncultured bacterium
Lineage: Bacteria
Description: partial 16S ribosomal RNA
Rfam family: Bacterial small subunit ribosomal RNA
Source: RNAcentral